CGGGGGGGCGAAGCGUUGUUCGGAAUUACUGGGCGUAAAGGGCUCGUAGGUGGCCAACUAAGUCAGACGUGAAAUCCCCAGGCUCAACUUGGGAACUGCGUCUGAUACUGGAUGGCUUGAAUUCGGGAGAGGGAUGCAGAAUUCCAGGUGUAGCGGUGAAAUGCGUAGAUAUCUGGAGGAAUACCGGUGGCGAAGGCGGCAUCCUGGACCGAGAUUGACACUGAAAAGCGAAAGCCAGGGGAGCAAACGGGAUUAGAUACCCCGGUAGUCCUGGCCCUAAACGAUGAAUGCUUGGUGUGACGGGUAUCGAUCCCUGUCGUGCCGAAGCUAACGCAUUAAGCAUUCCGCCUGGGGAGUACGGUCGCAAGGCUG
This 372-nucleotide ribosomal RNA is filed under the name uncultured organism. RNAcentral's name for it is "bacterial SSU rRNA". It matches the Rfam family "Bacterial small subunit ribosomal RNA", at positions 526 to 896 of the family's 1533-position model. The record is from RNAcentral.